Molecule: ribosomal RNA, 400 nt
Filed under: uncultured bacterium
Lineage: Bacteria
Description: bacterial SSU rRNA
Rfam family: Bacterial small subunit ribosomal RNA
Source: RNAcentral
GGGGAAUAUUGCACAAUGGGGGAAACCCUGAUGCAGCGACGCCGCGUGAGUGAAGAAGUGCUUCGGCAUGUAAAGCUCUAUCAGCAGGGAAGAAGAUGACGGUACCUGACUAAGAAGCCCCGGCUAACUACGUGCCAGCAGCCGCGGUAAUACGUAGGGGGCAAGCGUUAUCCGGAUUUACUGGGUGUAAAGGGAGCGUAGGUGGCAGAUCAAGUCAGAUGUGAAAGCCCGUGGCUCAACUGCGGGAUUGCAUUUGAAACUGGUUUGCUAGAGUGCAGGAGAGGUAAGUGGAAUUCCUAGUGUAGCGGUGAAAUGCGUAGAUAUUAGGAGGAACACCAGUGGCGAAGGCGGCUUACUGGACUGUAACUGACACUGAGGCUCGAAAGCGUGGGGAGCAAAC